This 30-nucleotide non-coding RNA is filed under the name Mus musculus (house mouse). The record is from RNAcentral. Lineage: Eukaryota; Metazoa; Chordata; Mammalia; Rodentia; Muridae.
UGCUAGUGAAUGGUAGUGAAUGCUGUACAG